GUUAUUUUUCAAAGAUAAAGGCCAAUCAUGGCUGGUUCCAGCUUAUUUUCUCUGUUUUCAUUAUAAACUGAAUAGGCUCUAUGUGGGUAUAUCUGCACAUGGAAUGAUGUUUUUAUUGCCUUUAUCUUGAAAUCACAUGUUAAAGGAACAGUUCACUCAAGAAUGAAAUUUCAGUCAUUAUCUACUCUAUGCUGAUGGAAAGUCAAACGAGAAGUCUGAAAGUCCACAAAACAUUUCUGGAGCUUCCCAGCAAAACAGUGUGGCGGCAUUCUGCGGCACAACUGAAGUAGAUUGGGACUUUUUUUUUUUUUUAACACAAAUUGUCAACUGUUUUGUUGUAAGGCUCCAGAAAUGUUAACUGGCUUUAAUGAAACUUUGCUUGACUUUUCCAUCAGCAUGGUGGAAUGACUGAAUGUUCAUUUUUGGGUGAACUUUUCCUUUAAGAAUCUGUCAAAUAUAGAGCUACAGCUUGAUUUUUUAAUGCAAUAAAUAAAUAAAUCUGUCAAUUUUUUUCAUUAUUCUCUCCAAAAAUCAAAGUGCUCAGCAGCAGGACUGUCACAAGAGCACUUGAAGGCAGCAGCAGCAGCCUCCCUCUGGCCUGCCUGUCUGCCUGUCUGUCUGUCUGCCUGCCUGCCUGUCUGCCUGCCUGUCUGUCUGUCUGUCUGCCUGCCUGUCUGCCUGCCUGCCUGUAGGUUGCGCUCAGUGAACUGAUCCCGCCAGCAGAGCGCGUCCCUGCGCCUCGGACGGAAAAUGGGGAAGCCUCCUACCGGAGCACAAACCCACUCCCCGUUUUUUCUCCGAGAAACUGUGAAAAGGAAAAGCCCCGUUGUUUUUUUCUAACACUGUCAGAAAGCCCAUGCACUGCGAGCCUUCUCCAGCAGCUCCGCCGCUCACAGGACUCUCCCAGGAUGCUGUCGAACAAGCCUCACGUCGGGCACAAAGUGGCAGGCUGUUGGAUUGUCCUCUCCCUCUUUCAUAUCAACUUUUCUGCUGGCAGCUCAGGAAAAGGCUCACAGAGCCAAGAUGAUAUGCACGUCAUCCACAACAAUCAACUGGGUAAGUCUUAUUUUUGUAAUUGCAGUGGAGGCGAAGAGUGAGAAAGUCAGACAAUCAAAAGGAGCGAAAAUGAGAAAAUAAAUUAGAUUGCGCUUUAGAUUACAGCCCGCCAAUGUCUUCGUAAAAUAUUCUGUGCUGUACAUAUGGGGUGCGGAUGAAACACAAGAAAUGUGGAGGAUACACAUUUAAUGAAAAAAAAUGAGUCAUGAUAUGAUGAGUUGUGCUCAAGUUUUUAAAGUUUUUUGAGUGUUUUCUUUUAGACUAGUCGACUAAUCUCAGCACGAGCUUGCGUUUAAACAUGAGGGAAACGUCACUUACAGUUACUAAGUAGUAGUAAAUAAUCUUAAUGUAAGGUUUUUUAUUGGAUUGGGAGGCUACUGUUAGGAUUGGGAGUUUUAACUGGUGCUCCACAGUGUUCUGUUUUGGGUCCAGGUCUUUUCACUGCCUAUCUACAGCACAGUCAUGCCAGUCUUAUGUGUUUUUAAAUCUCUACAAUCUCGC
This 1557-nucleotide long non-coding RNA is filed under the name Sparus aurata (gilthead seabream). Its description in RNAcentral is "lncRNA (ENSSAUG00010023360.1)". The record is from RNAcentral. Lineage: Eukaryota; Metazoa; Chordata; Actinopteri; Spariformes; Sparidae.